UUUCCUACGGGAGGCAGCAGUGGGGGAUAUUGCACAAUGGGGGGAACCCUGAUGCAGCGACGCCGCGUGGGUGAAGAAGCGCCUCGGCGCGUAAAGCCCUGUCAGCAGGGAAGAAAAUGACGGUACCUGAAGAAGAAGCCCCGGCUAACUACGUGCCAGCAGCCGCGGUAAUACGUAGGGGGCAAGCGUUAUCCGGAUUUACUGGGUGUAAAGGGAGCGUAGACGGCGAUGCAAGCCAGAUGUGAAAGCCCGGGGCUCAACCCCGGGACUGCAUUUGGAACUGUGUGGCUGGAGUGUCGGAGAGG
This 305-nucleotide ribosomal RNA is filed under the name uncultured bacterium. RNAcentral describes it as "bacterial SSU rRNA". It matches the Rfam family "Bacterial small subunit ribosomal RNA", at positions 335 to 657 of the family's 1533-position model. The record is from RNAcentral.